This 487-nucleotide ribosomal RNA is filed under the name uncultured bacterium. RNAcentral's name for it is "partial 16S ribosomal RNA". It matches the Rfam family "Bacterial small subunit ribosomal RNA", at positions 28 to 507 of the family's 1533-position model. The record is from RNAcentral.
GAUGAACGCUAGCGAUAGGCUUAACACAUGCAAGUCGAGGGGCAGCACAAGGUAGCUUGCUAUCUGGGUGGCGACCGGCGCACGGGUGCGUAACGCGUAUGCAACUUGCCCUAUACAGGAGGAUAACCCGUCGAAAGACGGACUAAUACUGCGUAUGCUCACAACUUGGCAUCAAGUGGUGAGGAAAGAAAUUCGGUAUAGGAUAGGCAUGCGUCCCAUUAGCUUGUUGGUGAGGUAACGGCUCACCAAGGCAACGAUGGGUAGGGGAACUGAGAGGUUUAUCCCCCACACUGGUACUGAGACACGGACCAGACUCCUACGGGAGGCAGCAGUGAGGAAUAUUGGUUAAUGGGCGCGAGCCUGAACCAGCCAAGUCGCGUGAAGGAGGACUGUCUUAUGGAUUGUAAACUUCUUUUAUACGGGAAUAACAAGAGUCACGUGUGACUCCCUGCAUGUACCGUAUGAAUAAGCAUCGGCUAACUCCGUG